This 2395-nucleotide ribosomal RNA is filed under the name Salmonella enterica subsp. enterica serovar Enteritidis. RNAcentral's name for it is "bacterial LSU rRNA". It matches the Rfam family "Bacterial large subunit ribosomal RNA", at positions 565 to 2925 of the family's 2925-position model. The record is from RNAcentral. Lineage: Bacteria; Pseudomonadati; Pseudomonadota; Gammaproteobacteria; Enterobacterales; Enterobacteriaceae.
UACAAGCAGUGGGAGCACAGGUUUACCUGUGUGACUGCGUACCUUUUGUAUAAUGGGUCAGCGACUUAUAUUCUGUAGCAAGGUUAACCGAAUAGGGGAGCCGGAGGGAAACCGAGUCUUAAUUGGGCGUUAAGUUGCAGGGUAUAGACCCGAAACCCGGUGAUCUAGCCAUGGGCAGGUUGAAGGUUGGGUAACACUAACUGGAGGACCGAACCGACUAAUGUUGAAAAAUUAGCGGAUGACCUGUGGCUGGGGGUGAAAGGCCAAUCAAACCGGGAGAUAGCUGGUUCUCCCCGAAAGCUAUUUAGGUAGCGCCUCGUGAAUUCAUCUCCGGGGGUAGAGCACUGUUUCGGCUAGGGGGCCAUCCCGGCUUACCAACCCGAUGCAAACUGCGAAUACCGGAGAAUGUUAUCACGGGAGACACACGGCGGGUGCUAACGUCCGUCGUGAAGAGGGAAACAACCCAGACCGCCAGCUAAGGUCCCAAAGUCAUGGUUAAGUGGGAAACGAUGUGGGAAGGCCCAGACAGCCAGGAUGUUGGCUUAGAAGCAGCCAUCAUUUAAAGAAAGCGUAAUAGCUCACUGGUCGAGUCGGCCUGCGCGGAAGAUGUAACGGGGCUAAACCAUGCACCGAAGCUGCGGCAGCGACACUGUGUGUUGUUGGGUAGGGGAGCGUUCUGUAAGCCUGCGAAGGUGGCCUGUGAGGGUUGCUGGAGGUAUCAGAAGUGCGAAUGCUGACAUAAGUAACGAUAAAGCGGGUGAAAAGCCCGCUCGCCGGAAGACCAAGGGUUCCUGUCCAACGUUAAUCGGGGCAGGGUGAGUCGACCCCUAAGGCGAGGCCGAAAGGCGUAGUCGAUGGGAAACGGGUUAAUAUUCCCGUACUUGGUGUUACUGCGAAGGGGGGACGGAGAAGGCUAUGUUGGCCGGGCGACGGUUGUCCCGGUUUAAGCGUGUAGGUGUGUGUUCCAGGUAAAUCCGGUUCACUUUAACACUGAGGCGUGACGACGAGGCACUACGGUGCUGAAGCAACAAAUGCCCUGCUUCCAGGAAAAGCCUCUAAGCAUCAGGUAACAUCAAAUCGUACCCCAAACCGACACAGGUGGUCAGGUAGAGAAUACCAAGGCGCUUGAGAGAACUCGGGUGAAGGAACUAGGCAAAAUGGUGCCGUAACUUCGGGAGAAGGCACGCUGACACGUAGGUGAAGUGAUUUACUCAUGGAGCUGAAGUCAGUCGAAGAUACCAGCUGGCUGCAACUGUUUAUUAAAAACACAGCACUGUGCAAACACGAAAGUGGACGUAUACGGUGUGACGCCUGCCCGGUGCCGGAAGGUUAAUUGAUGGGGUCAGCGCAAGCGAAGCUCCUGAUCGAAGCCCCGGUAAACGGCGGCCGUAACUAUAACGGUCCUAAGGUAGCGAAAUUCCUUGUCGGGUAAGUUCCGACCUGCACGAAUGGCGUAAUGAUGGCCAGGCUGUCUCCACCCGAGACUCAGUGAAAUUGAACUCGCUGUGAAGAUGCAGUGUACCCGCGGCAAGACGGAAAGACCCCGUGAACCUUUACUAUAGCUUGACACUGAACAUUGAGCCUUGAUGUGUAGGAUAGGUGGGAGGCUUUGAAGUGUGGACGCCAGUCUGCAUGGAGCCGACCUUGAAAUACCACCCUUUAAUGUUUGAUGUUCUAACGUGGACCCGUUACCCGGGUUGCGGACAGUGUCUGGUGGGUAGUUUGACUGGGGCGGUCUCCUCCUAAAGAGUAACGGAGGAGCACGAAGGUUGGCUAAUCCUGGUCGGACAUCAGGAGGUUAGUGCAAUGGCAUAAGCCAGCUUGACUGCGAGCGUGACGGCGCGAGCAGGUGCGAAAGCAGGUCAUAGUGAUCCGGUGGUUCUGAAUGGAAGGGCCAUCGCUCAACGGAUAAAAGGUACUCCGGGGAUAACAGGCUGAUACCGCCCAAGAGUUCAUAUCGACGGCGGUGUUUGGCACCUCGAUGUCGGCUCAUCACAUCCUGGGGCUGAAGUAGGUCCCAAGGGUAUGGCUGUUCGCCAUUUAAAGUGGUACGCGAGCUGGGUUUAGAACGUCGUGAGACAGUUCGGUCCCUAUCUGCCGUGGGCGCUGGAGAACUGAGGGGGGCUGCUCCUAGUACGAGAGGACCGGAGUGGACGCAUCACUGGUGUUCGGGUUGUCAUGCCAAUGGCACUGCCCGGUAGCUAAAUGCGGAAGAGAUAAGUGCUGAAAGCAUCUAAGCACGAAACUUGCCCCGAGAUGAGUUCUCCCUGAGACUUAGAGUCUCCUGAAGGAACGUUGAAGACGACGACGUUGAUAGGCCGGGUGUGUAAGCGCAGCGAUGCGUUGAGCUAACCGGUACUAAUGAACCGUGAGGCUUAACCUUACAACGCCGAAG